GAUGGCGGCAGCUUACACAUGCAGUCGAACGGACCGUAUACGCAGCUUGCUGCGUGUAUGGUUAGUGGCAGACGGGUGAGUAAUGCAUAGGAAUCUACCUAGUAGUAUGGGAUAGCCACUAGAAAUGGUGGGUAAUACUGUAUAAUCCCUGCGGGGGAAAGAUUUAUCGCUAUUAGAUGAGCCUAUGUCAGAUUAGCUAGUUGGUGGGGUAAUGGCCUACCAAGGCGGUGAUCUGUAGCUGGUCUGAGAGGAUGAUCAGCCACACUGGAACUGAGACACGGUCCAGACUCCUACGGGAGGCAGCAGUGGGGAAUAUUGGACAAUGGGCGCAAGCCUGAUCCAGCUAUGCCGCGUGAGUGAGGAAGGCCUUAGGGUUGUAAAACUCUUUCAGUAGGGAAGAUAAUGACGGUACCUACAGAAAAAGUCCCGGGCAAAACUCGAAAA
RNAcentral lists this ribosomal RNA (444 nucleotides) under Anaplasma marginale. RNAcentral describes it as "bacterial SSU rRNA". It matches the Rfam family "Bacterial small subunit ribosomal RNA", at positions 37 to 509 of the family's 1533-position model. The record is from RNAcentral. Lineage: Bacteria; Pseudomonadati; Pseudomonadota; Alphaproteobacteria; Rickettsiales; Anaplasmataceae.